UGUAGAACUGCAUCCCAAAACUAUUUGGCUAGAGUGUGGGAGAGGAAGAUGGAAUUAGUUGUGUAGGGGUAAAAUCCGUAGAGAUAACUAGGAAUACCAAAAGCGAAGGCAAUCUUCUGGAACAUUACUGACGCUGAGGCGCGAAAGCGUGGGGAGCAAACAGGAUUAGAUACCCUGGUAGUCCACGCCCUAAACGAUGAAUGUUAGUCGUCGGGUAGCUAGUCUGUUCGGUGAUGCAGCUAACGCAUUAAACAUUCCGCCUGGGGAGUACGGUCGCAAGAUUAAAACUCAAAGGAAUAGACGGGGACCCGCACAAGUGGUGGAGCAUGUGGUUUAAUUCGAAGAUACGCGAAGAACCUUACCUAGCCUUGACAUAUAUUAGAACUCCGCAGAGAUGUAGAGGUGCCUUCGGGAGCUUUUAUACAGGUGCUGCACGGCUGUCGUCAGCUCGUGUCGUGAGAUGUUGGGUUAAGUCCCGCAACGAGCGCAACCCUCGUCACUAGUUACUAACGGUUCGGCCGAGGACUCUAGUGAGACUGCCUUCGUAAGGAGGAGGAAGGUGAGGACGACGUCAAGUCAUCAUGGCCCUUACGGCUAGGGCAACACACGUGCUACAAUGGCCAGGACAAUGAGAAGCGAUACCGCGAGGUGGAGCAAAUCUAUAAACCUGGUCUCAGUCCGGAUUGUAGUCUGCAACUCGACUACAUGAAGCUGGAAUCACUAGUAAUCGUAGAUCAGCUAUGCUACGGUGAAUACGUUCCCGGGUCUUGUACUCACCGCCCGUCACACCAUGGGAGUUGAUUUCACCCGAAGCGGGGAAGCUAAACUGGCUACCCUCCACGGUGGAAUUAGCGACUGGGGUGAAGUCGUAACAAGGUAACC
RNAcentral lists this ribosomal RNA (882 nucleotides) under uncultured bacterium. RNAcentral's name for it is "bacterial SSU rRNA". It matches the Rfam family "Bacterial small subunit ribosomal RNA", at positions 614 to 1501 of the family's 1533-position model. The record is from RNAcentral.